GACGAACGCUGGCGGCGUGCUUAACACAUGCAAGUCGAACGGAAAGGCCCUGCUUUUAUGGGGUGCUCGAGUGGCGAACGGGUGAGUAACACGUGAGUAACCUGCCCUUGACUUUGGGAUAACUUCAGGAAACUGGGGCUAAUACCGGAUAGGAGCUCCUGCUGCAUGGUGGGGGUUGGAAAGUUUCGGCGGUUGGGGAUGGACUCGCGGCUUAUCAGCUUGUUGGUGGGGUAGUGGCUUACCAAGGCUUUGACGGGUAGCCGGCCUGAGAGGGUGACCGGCCACAUUGGGACUGAGAUACGGCCCAGACUCCUACGGGAGGCAGCAGUGGGGAAUAUUGCACAAUGGACGGAAGCCUGAUGCAGCAACGCCGCGUGCGGGAUGACGGCCUUCGGGUUGUAAACCGCUUUCGCCUGUGACGAAGCGUGAGUGACGGUAAUGGGUAAAGAAGCACCGGCUAACUACGUG
This 468-nucleotide ribosomal RNA is filed under the name uncultured bacterium. Its description in RNAcentral is "partial 16S ribosomal RNA". It matches the Rfam family "Bacterial small subunit ribosomal RNA", at positions 28 to 507 of the family's 1533-position model. The record is from RNAcentral.